This 1488-nucleotide ribosomal RNA is filed under the name uncultured bacterium. RNAcentral describes it as "bacterial SSU rRNA". It matches the Rfam family "Bacterial small subunit ribosomal RNA". The record is from RNAcentral.
AGUUUGAUUAUGGCUCAGGAUGAACGCUAGNNACAGGCUUAACACAUGCAAGUCGAGGGGCAGCAUUUUAGUUUGCUUGCAAACUAAAGAUGGCGACCGGCGCACGGGUGAGUAACACGUAUCCAACCUGCCGAUAACUCGGGGAUAGCCUUUCGAAAGAAAGAUUAAUAUCCGAUAGUAUAUUAAAACCGCAUGGUUUUACUAUUAAAGAAUUUCGGUUAUCGAUGGGGAUGCGUUCCAUUAGUUUGUUGGCGGGGUAACGGCCCACCAAGACUACGAUGGAUAGGGGUUCUGAGAGGAAGGUCCCCCACAUUGGAACUGAGACACGGUCCAAACUCCUACGGGAGGCAGCAGUGAGGAAUAUUGGUCAAUGGACGAGAGUCUGAACCAGCCAAGUAGCGUGAAGGAUGACUGCCCUAUGGGUUGUAAACUUCUUUUAUAUGGGAAUAAAGUAUUCCACGUGUGGGAUUUUGUAUGUACCAUAUGAAUAAGGAUCGGCUAACUCCGUGCCAGCAGCCGCGGUAAUACGGAGGAUCCGAGCGUUAUCCGGAUUUAUUGGGUUUAAAGGGAGCGUAGGUGGAUUGUUAAGUCAGUUGUGAAAGUUUGCGGCUCAACCGUAAAAUUGCAGUUGAAACUGGCAGUCUUGAGUACAGUAGAGGUGGGCGGAAUUCGUGGUGUAGCGGUGAAAUGCUUAGAUAUCACGAAGAACUCCGAUUGCGAAGGCAGCUCACUAGACUGCAACUGACACUGAUGCUCGAAAGUGUGGGUAUCAAACAGGAUUAGAUACCCUGGUAGUCCACACAGUAAACGAUGAAUACUCGCUGUUUGCGAUAUACAGUAAGCGGCCAAGCGAAAGCAUUAAGUAUUCCACCUGGGGAGUACGCCGGCAACGGUGAAACUCAAAGGAAUUGACGGGGGCCCGCACAAGCGGAGGAACAUGUGGUUUAAUUCGAUGAUACGCGAGGAACCUUACCCGGGCUUAAAUUGCAUUUGAAUAAUCUGGAAACAGGUUAGCCGCAAGGCAAAUGUGAAGGUGCUGCAUGGUUGUCGUCAGCUCGUGCCGUGAGGUGUCGGCUUAAGUGCCAUAACGAGCGCAACCCUUAUCUUUAGUUACUAACAGGUCAUGCUGAGGACUCUAGAGAGACUGCCGUCGUAAGAUGUGAGGAAGGUGGGGAUGACGUCAAAUCAGCACGGCCCUUACGUCCGGGGCUACACACGUGUUACAAUGGGGGGUACAGAAGGCAGCUACCUGGCGACAGGAUGCUAAUCCCAAAAACCUCUCUCAGUUCGGAUCGAAGUCUGCAACCCGACUUCGUGAAGCUGGAUUCGCUAGUAAUCGCGCAUCAGCCAUGGCGCGGUGAAUACGUUCCCGGGCCUUGUACACACCGCCCGUCAAGCCAUGAAAGCCGGGGGUACCUGAAGUACGUAACCGCAAGGAGCGUCCUAGGGUAAAACUGGUAAUUGGGGCUAAGUCGUAACAAGGUAGCC